RNAcentral lists this ribosomal RNA (238 nucleotides) under uncultured bacterium. RNAcentral describes it as "partial 16S ribosomal RNA". It matches the Rfam family "Bacterial small subunit ribosomal RNA", at positions 118 to 353 of the family's 1533-position model. The record is from RNAcentral.
UGGGUAACCUGCCUUAUAGUGGGGGAUAGCCUUUCGAAAGGAAGAUUAAUACCGCAUAAGAUUGUAGUAUCGCAUGAUAUAGCAAUUAAAGGAGCAAUUCGCUAUAAGAUGGACCCGCGUCGCAUUAGCUAGUUGGUGAGGUAAUGGCUCACCAAGGCGACGAUGCGUAGCCGACCUGAGAGGGUGAUCGGCCACAUUGGGACUGAGACACGGCCCAGACUCCUACGGGAGCAGCAUG